GCACUGGAUUUAGGUUCCAGCGCCGCAAGGCGUGGAGGUUCGAGUCCUCUCCUGGGCACCA
Molecule: transfer RNA, 61 nt
Filed under: Brevundimonas sp.
Lineage: Bacteria; Pseudomonadati; Pseudomonadota; Alphaproteobacteria; Caulobacterales; Caulobacteraceae
Description: tRNA-OTHER
Source: RNAcentral